GCGGGCCGUAUGAAGGUGUAACCGGAUUCCUUUGAUUUCUUAAGUCCAGGCGGGCCGCGUAAGGCCACACCGUUAGUUUACGCGGGCCGCGAGUGUCCCGAUUCGUGGCGCAGCCCGGUGAUGACACGUGUCAUCAUCGUGGCAGGUCUAGAGGAUGAGCCGGACAAGCUAGUCCGUUGACCAGGGUUGACGCGGGCCGCGUGACCCCUGUCCUUUCUUUACGCGGGCCGCGUGGGAACCAGAAUCAGCACCUAUAUAAGCAGGCAUCGGGUUUUAGUAUUCCUCGUUCAUUUCUUUUCUUUCUAAACGAAUUCUGAAGUAGUAGAAGUGAUACGCGGGUAUUAUACCCCCUAAUUAGCGAAGCUCUGCCUCGUUACUAUAACCAAGGAAUCACAAAGGAAAGCCUUAUAAUAGCAAUGUGAGUGAUCCUUCUUUUUAUAUACUCAUUUUUGUGAGUUGAUCCACUUUUUGUUAACUAUUUUUACAAAACCUUGCAUACUUGUCUAUGCAAAUAACAGUUAUUGAGUAUUUGUAAGAAUACAAUUAUCACGGGUAUGUUGGGGUUUUGUAUACAAAAUUGUUACAACCUGGAUAGGAAACCUGGAUAUGGAGUAACAUUACCACAAGUCGGGUAUCGACAGUACCACGGGUGAUAAUUGAUAUAACUUGGAAACAAAUGUAAUUGCGGGAUCGCCCUCAAUACUGUUCACUGUGACUUUUUAUUUAAACUUGAUUAAACUGGGAUUCACUCACCAGUAUUUCCUGCUGAUAAAAUGUUUUAAACACGUGUUUCAGGUAACUUAGUGUAAAGCCAAUAGAAGCCAGCUGGAGAGCACUGAAGGCUUGGAAAAGUGGCAAUAAAGUUACCUAAAAUAAAAUAGAUGUUUUUAUUAAAUAAAAUAGGAUUUAUUCCUAUGAAAAUGUAUGUACUGAAAAACUUGGGUUUUAUCCCAUGUGUUUAAUAUAAUGAAAAGAAGGUGGUUUUACUCUGAUAAAAUAUUUCCUAACUACGGUCCUGAUGAAAAAUUCCGCUGCCAAAUAGACAAUACGCGAUACCACCGAAACUGGCUCACGGCCGCCCGCUCCUGAGGGAUCGGGGGUUGUGAAAGAAGGUGGUAUCAGAGCUAUGCCACUGGUUCAAGCCAAAGAAGUAGUAUAAGUAACCAAUAUGACUAGACGUACCCAUAGGCUACCUCGGCAGAUGUAUUAUACAACACUCUUAUACAAUUAGUAACUUAAGGUAUCACCUUGAGUGAGAUCUCUUCUUAAAUAAAUGAAUGUACCGUAAUAUAUAUACAUAUAUAUAUAUAUAUAUGUGUGUGUGUGUAUAUACUACUAUGUGUAUAUCAACCUUACUAGGAAAUAUUAAUACACGUUCAUUUUGUAAAAAAUAUUCAUAGAUCAUGGGUAUAAAUUUUAGAUAUUAAAUCUAAAAUCAUAAUUUAUGGUAAAUUUACAUAAGAAAUUGAAUAAUAUUAUGUAUCCACCUUAAAUAAAAGUAUGUUAUUUUAAGUUGAUUCAUAGACUUCAUGAUCUAUACCAUGAUCUAUCCUUAUGAAUGGCGGUAUAGAUUAUGGUAAAUUCCUGAAUUGACCUUAAAUCCAGAAAUCGUGUUAAUGUACAAUAUUAAUUGUAUGUAAAAUAAUUGUAGUAUAGUAUACUUCUAAUAAACAUACGUUAUAAUGCACUAUAAAAAAAAGGGUCUGAUGGUUUGUACAAUCGGUAUAAAAGAAAGUUAAUAGUUAGUGUUUUUAAGAAGUAAAAAUAAAGAAAAUAAAGAAAUCACAACCAAAGAAAGUGAUAAUAAAUGCACAAACUCAGGAAACAGACAAUAACCUAUCAUGGGAAGAUAAACAAUGGGUAAAUCUCCAUAUAUUAGCCACUACAGAAGUAAAUAUUAAUUUAUAGUUGAAUCGCAAAACCAGUACCAGCACCCAUGCCACCUAUGAGCCAGAAAUUUUAAAAGAAAUUUUGCCCAUUAAAUAAACAACCUAAAAGAAAAAGAUAGAAUAAAACCAUACAUAAAAGUAUGUUGAGCAUAAUACUCCUAUAACCUAGAUAGACUAAAAUAAGUUAUGAAUGCAUAAUUCCUAGUAUAUUUUGAACCCCAGUUGUAAUUGCAAUAAAUAUACAUAUAUAUAUAUAUAUAAGUCGCAAUGUUCGCCGUUUUUAAUCAAUCUAUUUUUAUGAUGGUACCCAAAUAGUUAUACUAGAAAUUUGUCUGUGAUAAUUAAUACCACCUAAUCAAAUAACAUUAUAAUAUACAUCAAACUAAGUUAGUUGUUAACAAAGCAAUCAUGUUCACGACUUUCUUUUGGAACCAAUCAUUUACUUUGGUUUAAAAUACAUAUUGAAAUAUAUGGUAUAAAGUUUUAAAACUUUGUGGUUUUAAAUAAUAUUGUCUCAAAAUAAAUUAUAUUUAAAUAAAUAAAACCGAAGCUAGUAAAUUAACCGAAAUGAUUUUGAAAAAAAAAAAAAAAAAAAAGUUUGCUUUAGUGGAUUGAGCCAAAGCAAGUUUUUGAAACCCAUGUGUACCAAUUUUCCACUUUAUUUUAUUCCUUCUGGUUUGUAACCAGUUGACCAUAAGACUUUAUACUUUCAUAAUUUUAUGUUGGGAUUAUUUGUAAAGGUUUCUAUUAAAAUACUUAGCGAUAAAAUAAAUGGUUAAAUGAAUAUGAGGGAUAUUCAUGAUUAAAUAAAAUCAUUUAAAUUUUUUUGAUUUGGGUUGAUUAGACUACGUAGAAAUGUCUAACUAAACAUUAAAAGCAUUUCUACAAAUCUUUAAGGUAUGUCCAGAAUAUGUCUUAUGCAUGGAAAUAAUUGAUAUAAGACUAACCCGUCAUAUUAGUUAUAUAAUUGUGUAUCCUA
RNAcentral lists this long non-coding RNA (2868 nucleotides) under Helianthus annuus (common sunflower). RNAcentral's name for it is "sRNA HanXRQr2_Chr03g0112121". The record is from RNAcentral. Lineage: Eukaryota; Viridiplantae; Streptophyta; Magnoliopsida; Asterales; Asteraceae.